GAUGAACGCUGGCGGCGUGCCUAAUACAUGCAAGUCGAGCGAACGGACGAGAAGCUUGCUUCUCUGCUGUUAGCGGCGGACGGGUGAGUAACACGUGGAUAACCUACCUAUAAGACUGGGAUAAUUUCGUGAAACCGGAGCUAAUACCGGAUGAUAUUUUGAACCGCAUGGUUCAAAAGUGAAAGACGGUCUUGCUGUCACUUAUAGAUGGAUCCGCGCUGCAUUAGCUAGUUGGUAAGGUAACGGCUUACCAAGGCAACGAUGCAUAGCCGACCUGAGAGGGUGAUCGGCCACACUGGAACUGAGACACGGUCCAGACUCCUACGGGAGGCAGCAGUAGGGAAUCUUCCGCAAUGGGCGAAAGCCUGACGGAGCAACGCCGCGUGAGUGAUGAAGGUCUUCGGAUCGUAAAACUCUGUUAUUAGGGAAGAACAUAUGUGUAAGUAACUGUGCACAUCUUGACGGUACCUAAUCAGAAAGCCACGGCUAACUACGUG
This 497-nucleotide ribosomal RNA is filed under the name uncultured bacterium. Its description in RNAcentral is "partial 16S ribosomal RNA". It matches the Rfam family "Bacterial small subunit ribosomal RNA", at positions 28 to 507 of the family's 1533-position model. The record is from RNAcentral.